GCCAGGUGUGGUGGUGCACGCCUGUAGUCCUAGCUACUCAGGAGGUUGAGGUGGGAGAAUUGCUUGAGCCCAGGAGUUCAAGACUGCAGUGAGCCAAGAUUGUGCCACUGCACUCCAGCCUGGGUGACAGAGUGAGACCCUGUCUCAA
Molecule: unclassified non-coding RNA, 148 nt
Organism: Papio anubis (olive baboon)
Lineage: Eukaryota; Metazoa; Chordata; Mammalia; Primates; Cercopithecidae
Rfam family: Metazoan signal recognition particle RNA
About the family: The signal recognition particle (SRP) is a universally conserved ribonucleoprotein. It is involved in the co-translational targeting of proteins to membranes.
Source: Ensembl